UACAGAGGGGGCAAGCGUUAUUCGGAAUUAUUGGGCGUAAAGGGCGCGUAGGCGGCCUGGCAAGUGGAAGGUGAAAUCCCUCGGCUUAACCGAGGAACUGCCUUCCAAACUGCUUGGCUUGAGUCCGGGAGAGGUGAGUGGAAUUCCCAGUGUAGCGGUGAAAUGCGUAGACAUUGGGAGGAACACCAGUGGCGAAGGCGGCUCACUGGACCGGAACUGACGCUGAGACGCGAAAGCGUGGGGAGCGAACAGG
This 253-nucleotide ribosomal RNA is filed under the name uncultured bacterium. RNAcentral's name for it is "partial 16S ribosomal RNA". It matches the Rfam family "Bacterial small subunit ribosomal RNA", at positions 524 to 776 of the family's 1533-position model. The record is from RNAcentral.